CACAAAAUUAAAAUAUGAAGGCUUCGGCCUGGAUUAUUUUUUAUCACCCUUGUCUUUUGCGCACUUGUUGUUUUCCUGGGCAGGUUCGCCCGCCACCAGGACCACACCAUAAACCUUUUUUAUGCAGUUGCAAUCAGCGUCAGUAUAACAAAUGUAAAUCAUUUA
This 165-nucleotide unclassified non-coding RNA is filed under the name soil metagenome. RNAcentral describes it as "partial internal transcribed spacer 1". The record is from RNAcentral.